This 45-nucleotide non-coding RNA is filed under the name Schistosoma mattheei. Lineage: Eukaryota; Metazoa; Platyhelminthes; Trematoda; Strigeidida; Schistosomatidae. The record is from RNAcentral.
ACCUAGCUGACGAGUCUCAAAUAGGACGAAACACGUGUCCUGGAU